AACAUUGGUGCUCACGUACCAUGCUGUGAAUGGAUCGGGUCCAGCUUACAUCCCGGACAUGGUCAAACCCUAACUUCCAAACCCGAAUCUCCGCUCUGCAUCUGCCAAAAUACUCGUCCCUCCCUCACUGAGAGCAAAACACUCGACUAGGUCUCGACUCUUCGCUGUCCUUGCGCCGAAAUGGUGGAACGAGCUCUCUGAAGACAUCAGGACCGCAGAGAGCCUUCACAUCUUCCGCCGCAAACUAAAGACACACCUCUUCAGACUCUACCUCGACUAAAGACUAACAAAUUGUAGCACUUAAAUUGUACUUGUAACGUCACUCAUCUAUAGCAAAUUGUAAAUUGGCUUAUUUGAGGAAAUUGCACUUUCUUGUUUCUUGUUCUCCUGAGUUUGUACCCUAUGGUUGAAUGCACUUAUUGUACGUCGCUUUGGAUAAAAGCGUCAGCUAAAUGACAUGUAAUGUAAUGUAAUAUAUGGAUCAAAGUGAACGAGAAUGAGUGUUUAUUUUAGACACUGUUGUUUAAUUGUACACAUAUGUGAUCAUCAAGGAGGUGGAACACGUUGAACUAGCCACUCUUCCUGCUGUCAUCGUGGACUCUGCUCUCAACUCGCCAUCAUUUAACGGCUGUGUUUGAAGUGCCAACAUCUCCCAACAUUUAGCCUGGAUGUUUUCAAACCACUUUCUUUUAGGGACACAGUGGUGGUCCUCUGCAGGUAGAUAUUGAGAUGGAAGUAGCCUAGCAGCUACCACCAUGUUCCAGGCACUGUCAGUGUGUGAAGUGGUCCGUUUGCCACUCAUCGCCCUUCUGUUUGACACUUGGAGGAAUUCCUCUGCACAGUUCUCCACUGUAUGUCACGCUGCUGCUUGUUUGACUUCUGUGGCAGAAAUUUGUGGAUUUAGCCCAUGUGAGAAAUCAAGAGUAUCUUGAGCUUGCUUUGUGAUUAAGUAUUUAUUACUAACUAGAAUAUAGAAAAAAGAUAAAGAAUACAGAAAUCAUCAGCACAAGUCAUAAGCACAGACAGAAGUCAAAUGACUACAAUUCAGCUGAAAAGGGACAGAUGUUCCUUCCCCCAAAAGGAGCAGGAAGAUCUGACCAAGUUAAAGAGAAGAACAGGAGGUUUUAUACACUUAGGGGGGUUUGUGCUGCCUCAGGACAGGACAGCCCACCCCUCAAGAGGAGUGUUGGAAAAGUAGCAGAUGAUGUAGGGGUGACCCAGUGACCCUCCCUUUAUGGACCCAGACAAUCAACAACAUCUAAAAGGUCAGUCAGGGCACGUAUGAUUUCAUCUGUGUCUUAUCUCACCCUGGACUGCCUUAAGUCACCGGCUCACAUCAACGGUCACAUUCCUGAGAGCUUCACCCUAUGCAGGCUCACCAAUUCUCCCCCAACAACUUCAUAUGCAAAAAGCUCUCUCCAUCUUGAUCCACCGUCUCGGUCUCAUUUAUUUACAAAUGCCAUUUUAAAUUCAUCUCAUAGCACUUGGUUGUUUUUUAGCUGAAUGCAUUUACUUAACUUGCACUACAAUGAUGGUAAUAAUUUAAUGAAUAUGCUUCAAGUGAACAUGAGGGUGUGUUCGUGAGUGUAGUAUAGAGAACUAGUUCUGACGAAUUUGAGGUUUUGUUUUAAAAAAAAGGGUUGGAAAUUAAAGCUUUUUAAAAUCCGAUUCAUUGAUUAAUCGAAGAAAUAAUCGAUUAUCAAAAUAAUUGUUAGUUGCAGCCCUAAUGUAGACAAUCAUCUUUGGCACCACAAGAUUCUAAACAUCUUGAUUAUCAGAUGACCCAGAACAUAAUGUACCUCUGAGUAAAAGAGCACAGACUUUCUGUUGUACUAACGUGUAACAUUAUUGCAGUUUUUCCAACAAAUGCCAUCUGAAAUUGAACAGAAGUUGGCUCGUGACCGACAUUUUACAGGAUGUUGGCUCAUGUAUGACUUUUUGACAGAAAUGAUCUCUAUCUACCUGAAGUGGAAUAACUAUGCACCAUUUCCUUUUAAAUGGUUCAUAGUUGAAAUUCAACAGAAGUUGGCUCGUGAAUGACCUUUUAAAGGAAGUUGGCUCAUGUAUGAAAUUCUGACAGGCUGUUGGAGCCUCUCUGAGUACAGUCGUUCGGUCUCUGAUGGCCUUGCCAAACCUGUAUUUCACGCACUGGCUGCCAAACACCAGCAUGUCGACGCUCAAAGCCCCACUGUGAGCUGACACGUGUGCACAAGGACGCCUCACAGAGCCCCUUAAAGGCUGGCGCAUGCGUCUGCGUCGUUUUGUCGACGCACUUGUUUCAAUUCAUGGUUCUUAAAGUCUUGCGUGUGUUGCAGAGCAAUUCACCGCCAGCACAACAG
Long non-coding RNA from Gasterosteus aculeatus aculeatus (three-spined stickleback), 2339 nucleotides. The record is from Ensembl. NCBI's taxonomy places the organism in Eukaryota, Metazoa, Chordata, Actinopteri, Perciformes, Gasterosteidae.